RNAcentral lists this small RNA (27 nucleotides) under Bombyx mori (domestic silkworm). Its description in RNAcentral is "ovarian small RNA-24064". The record is from RNAcentral. Lineage: Eukaryota; Metazoa; Arthropoda; Insecta; Lepidoptera; Bombycidae.
UAUGUUUGUGUAACAGGUUUCAAUUAA